This 785-nucleotide unclassified non-coding RNA is filed under the name Hevea brasiliensis (rubber tree). Lineage: Eukaryota; Viridiplantae; Streptophyta; Magnoliopsida; Malpighiales; Euphorbiaceae. The record is from RNAcentral.
CCUGGAUUAUAAACAAAUAUAAAUAAGAAAAUCCGAGACAAAAAGAUAAAUAUUAAAGAAAUUCAAUUUGUUAAAAUAAUUUAUACAAACGAGCUAAACUCCUGAUUAUAAACAAACAUAAAUAAGAAAAUCUGACACACAAAAAGAUAACUAGUUCACAAUACUUUGGAGAACUAACCAAAGCUACCAUUUCUCCUUUGGAUACAAGCGAAUUGCUCAUUUUGAAGUAAUUGUUUACAUAACAGUAUUAGCUUUUUCUGAAUUAGUUCAUAAACCAAUAAUUCAGGCCAAUUAGAUUUAUGGUGACUGAAGAACGAGGUCAUAAUCAUAAAUAUGGUACAUCUAUAGGCAAUCUCUCUUGAACAUUUGCUAUAUACAAUUAUGGCUUUAUGUAUUACACGCGUACAUCCAAAGGUUCCAUAAUCCAAGAAAAGCAACCAAAAAUAUUAUAUAAAACAUUCAGUAAUAUAUUGCUUGGGUAUGAAUAUGCUUAGACGCCAUGCAGGCAAACAAUUAUAAAAUAAUAUUUUCACCGAGUUGGCAUAAAAUUAUGAAGGAGAUUUCACCUGACCAUAGAUUGAACCACAAGGUUACGGAUGAGAAUAUUCAUUGAAGGUCGUCCAUAUGCAAUUCCAUACUGAUCCCACCCACUCUUUAUAGCAAUGCCAUCAUCCCCCACACUUAUGUAACAGUUUUCGAUUAUCAUAUCCUCACAUGAAUCAGGAUCAAUUCCAUCAGUAUUUGGGGCUUCAAAUAUGGGGGCCAAAAUUGUAACAUUCCUGAUA